RNAcentral lists this ribosomal RNA (300 nucleotides) under uncultured bacterium. RNAcentral's name for it is "bacterial SSU rRNA". It matches the Rfam family "Bacterial small subunit ribosomal RNA", at positions 789 to 1084 of the family's 1533-position model. The record is from RNAcentral.
GGUAGUCCUAGCAGUAAACGAUGGCCACUAGGUGUGGGGGGUGUUGACCCCUUCCGUGCCGUAGCUAACGCAUUAAGUGGCCCGCCUGGGGAGUACGGUCGCAAGACUAAAACUCAAAGGAAUUGACGGGACCCGCACAAGCAGCGGAGCGUGUGGUUUAAUUCGAUGCAACGCGAAGAACCUUACCUGGGCUUGACAUGCCCGAAGUAGAACCCGGAAACGGAACGACUCGUCAAGGCGAGAACGGGCACAGAUGCUGCAUGGCUGUCGUCAGCUCGUGCCGUGAGGUGUUGGGUUAAG